Molecule: non-coding RNA, 760 nt
Organism: Osmia lignaria (orchard mason bee)
Lineage: Eukaryota; Metazoa; Arthropoda; Insecta; Hymenoptera; Megachilidae
Source: RefSeq, a predicted model, not a curated record
CUUCGAGGGAGGGCCAGUGGGGCUUGCGGUACCGUGUAGGUGAGACGAUAUAUACCACCAGAAACUGGGAUUUGCCGUUUGCCUAAGUGUUCAACGCAUUCGCAAUCGUCAUAAUCGACACCCCGUCGAAACAAACAGGCGACGAUAACGAACCAGUGAGAAUCGAUAAACCGAUAAAAGCGUGUCCCUUGCCUCCCUUCGUCCCUCUUCGUCUAACGAACGAAUAGUUAACAAACGACUAUCAUACAGGUUACAUCCUGCUGAACUUUCACCUUUCACAUGAGAUUUAUCGCUUGAGGAACGAGCAGGAGGCAAGACGGCUUUUACGACAAGAGCGACAAGACCAGAAGCGAGCAGUCAAGCACGCAUGCAGUCAAGCUGGCCGCCUAAUCCAUUUGUACAAUAUACUAUGUAUACUUGUAUACCGACGCGACGAAGAAUCCAACUAUAUCGUACACAGUAUACGUUUUCGCAUCAUCGUCCAGAGAGCGCAUGCAAAUCGAGUGCAAUCGGUUUUUAGCUUCCUGCGUUAAGAAUUCCGUCGGGUAUGCGCCAGUAUGCGACCAGUUAUUACAUUAGAUAAACAUCUAAACAAUUGAAAAACAUAUAUAUCGAUAAGAAAGCUGCGAAUAAUCGUCGUUACAAAUUAUUUUUCAUCGCAAACAUCGCGAUCGAUCCUUUCUAUCUUUGUACAAAUAUACGCGAGGCUACAAAAAUACGAUAAAUAAACUGAUAACAAUGUGCUUUGAUCUAGAUCGUA